Molecule: ribosomal RNA, 482 nt
Filed under: uncultured bacterium
Lineage: Bacteria
Description: partial 16S ribosomal RNA
Rfam family: Bacterial small subunit ribosomal RNA
Source: RNAcentral
AUUGAACGCUGGCGGCAUGCUUUACACAUGCAAGUCGAACGGUAACAGGCCGCAAGGUGCUGACGAGUGGCGAACGGGUGAGUAAUGCAUCGGAACGUGCCCAGUCGUGGGGGAUAACUACUCGAAAGAGUAGCUAAUACCGCAUACGAUCUAUGGACGAAAGCGGGGGACCGUAAGGCCUCGCGCGAUUGGAGCGGCCGAUGUCAGAUUAGGUAGUUGGUGGGGUAAAGGCUCACCAAGCCAACGAUCUGUAGCUGGUCUGAGAGGACGACCAGCCACACUGGGACUGAGACACGGCCCAGACUCCUACGGGAGGCAGCAGUGGGGAAUUUUGGACAAUGGGCGCAAGCCUGAUCCAGCAAUGCCGCGUGCAGGAAGAAGGCCUUCGGGUUGUAAACUGCUUUUGUACGGAACGAAACGGCUCUGGUUAAUACCCGGGGGUAAUGACGGUACCGGAAGAAUAAGCACCGGCUAACUACGUG